AGGGAAGAUGGCGGCGCCCUGGUGGCGAGCCGCGCUGUGCGAGUGUCGGAGAUGGCGGGGCUUCAGCACCUCGGCCGUCCUGGGCCGCCGGACACCCCCGCUGGGGCCGAUGCCCAACAGUGACAUCGACUUGAGCAACCUGGAGCGGCUGGAGAAGUACCGGAGCUUCGACCGCUACCGGCGCCGGGCAGAGCAGGAGGCGCAGGCCCCGCACUGGUGGCGGACCUACCGAGAGUAUUUCGGGGAGAAGACAGGUGCGGGGCGACUGGAGCAGGGGCUGCAGCCACCGCCCGGGGAACUCGGGACCCGCCGGCGUUUUCCCCGGGCUCUGGGCGAGGCUUGCCGUCGCCCUUGUGGAUGCUGGGGACGCUGGGAGGGCCUGCCUGCAGACCUGUGUGCGCUAUCGGCAGCUUAAUCACCCCAGGAUUUUUCACACCUUCUGCGCCUCAUUCUUGGAAAAUUCGCUCCCCCUACUAUUAGAGUUCCAGCUCCUAAAAUAUUUGCUCCUAAAAUCUUGACCACCUGACUUUCCGGAUUGGGAUGCCGUUCUGUGCGCCUCAAAUACUCUAUCCCAAAGAGAAGAUUGAUAUUGGGCUGCCUCCACCCAAAGUCUCCCGGACCCAACAGCUACUGGAACGGAAACAGGCCAUCCGGGAGCUUCGGGCCAAUGUGGAAGAGGAGCGGGCUGCCCGCCUCCGCACAGCCAGUGUCCCGCUGGAUGCCGUGCGGGCCGAGUGGGAGAGGACCUGUGGCCCCUACCACAAGCAGCGUCUGGCUGAGUAUUACGGCCUCUACCGAGACCUGUUCCAUGGUGCCACCUUUGUGCCCCGAGUCCCCCUGCACGUGGCCUACGCUGUGGGUGAGGACGACCUGAUGCCCG
This 880-nucleotide small RNA is filed under the name Pan troglodytes (chimpanzee). RNAcentral's name for it is "retained intron". Lineage: Eukaryota; Metazoa; Chordata; Mammalia; Primates; Hominidae. The record is from RNAcentral.